Long non-coding RNA from Thalassophryne amazonica, 354 nucleotides. RefSeq lists it as uncharacterized. The transcript has 3 exons. NCBI's taxonomy places the organism in Eukaryota, Metazoa, Chordata, Actinopteri, Batrachoidiformes, Batrachoididae. The record is from RefSeq and is a predicted model, not a curated record.
UGUCGCGCUCAUUAAGGAUCACCACUAAUCAAGAUGGAUCAAUACGCUGAGUUGCAGGUGUCCAGGAUAUUUCCCUCGAUUACAGUGAAAGUGUGCACAUUGUUGAAUGUGUUCGCUAGGGGAAGAAAAGGUAAAAGAAUCAAGAGAUACAAAUGUUCUAAUGUGGUUGAUUGUUUUUUGCCCGCUGCUCAGAGGACAGAAUAACUGGCUGCAUUUGGACCGUAAAGUCCUGGACCAUAACUUUUCCAAGACAUCCGGUCCUUUGGAGCUCAGGUUCCUUGUGAGGAGACCAUCGAAGCGGAGAGCGUAAACAUUUUCAAGUUAGCCGCAUUCGCAUUGCAGGAGGCCAAAGGA